UCUCGCUUUCUCUCUUUCUCUCUCUCUCUGAGGACCUGAGCCCUAGGACCAUGCCUCAGGACUACCUGGCAUGAUGACUCCUUGCUGUCCCCAGUCCACCUGGCCGUGCUGCUGCUCCAGUUUCAACUGUUCUGCCUGCGGCUAUGGAAUCCUGUCCUGUUCACCGGACCAUGCUGGAUACUGUUAUCUGUUGACGUGGUCCUAAUUCGGGACCUGUUACACUACCAACUCCCACCUGACACUAUAGAUAUCACACAUACACAUUUCUCGGGAGCAGCAAAUGCAGGGUCAACCACAGAGCAACGCUCCAGGAGCGGUUGAGGGGUUAAGUGCCUCGAUCAAGGACACAACAUUAGGGAAUUGUAGCUGUGACCUGAAACCAGCAGUCUUCCAGUUGUCAGUUUAGUUCCAGAUUUUCAUCACCAGAACCGAGACUUGAAUCAAUGACUUUCUGAGCUACGUAUUGUUUCCUUGUAUCAGGCUUUACAAUCAGAUAAGUGAAGUAAUAUGUAAUUGCAAUGGAUUUAAUGGAAUAUGGAUUCAUUUGCUGAUAUGAUCAUACUGUCAAUGCGAGUAAUGGACUCUCUUGCUUGGAUAAAAAUAAA
Molecule: long non-coding RNA, 605 nt
Organism: Oncorhynchus tshawytscha (Chinook salmon)
Lineage: Eukaryota; Metazoa; Chordata; Actinopteri; Salmoniformes; Salmonidae
Source: Ensembl